This 484-nucleotide ribosomal RNA is filed under the name uncultured bacterium. Its description in RNAcentral is "partial 16S ribosomal RNA". It matches the Rfam family "Bacterial small subunit ribosomal RNA", at positions 30 to 507 of the family's 1533-position model. The record is from RNAcentral.
AUUGAACGCUGGCGGCAGGCCUAACACAUGCAAGUCGAGCGGAUGAAGGGAGCUUGCUCCUGGAUUCAGCGGCGGACGGGUGAGUAAUGCCUAGGAAUCUGCCUGGUAGUGGGGGAUAACGUCCGGAAACGGGCGCUAAUACCGCAUACGUCCUGAGGGAGAAAGUGGGGGAUCUUCGGACCUCACGCUAUCAGAUGAGCCUAGGUCGGAUUAGCUAGUUGGUGGGGUAAAGGCCUACCAAGGCGACGAUCCGUAACUGGUCUGAGAGGAUGAUCAGUCACACGUGAGCUGAGACACGGUCCAGACUCCUACGGGAGGCAGCAGUGGGGAAUAUUGGACAAUGGGCGAAAGCCUGAUCCAGCCAUGCCGCGUGUGUGAAGAAGGUCUUCGGAUUGUAAAGCACUUUAAGUUGGGAGGAAGGGCAGUAAGUUAAUACCUUGCUGUUUUGACGUUACCAACAGAAUAAGCACCGGCUAACUUCGUG